UCUUUUCGGAGCACUGGAGACAGGUGGUGCAUGGUUGUCGUCAGCUCGUGUCGUGAGAUGUUGGGUUAAGUCCCGCAACGAGCGCAACCCUUAUCUUUAGUAGCCAGCAUUUGAGGUGGGCACUCUAGAGAGACUGCCAGGGACAACCUGGAGGAAGGUGGGGAUGACGUCAAAUCAUCAUGCCCCUUAUGACCAGGGCUACACACGUGCUACAAUGGCGUAAACAAAGGGAAGCAAGCAUGUGAAUGUGAGCAAAUCCCAAAAAUAACGUCUCAGUUCGGAUUGUAGUCUGCAACUCGACUACAUGAAGCUGGAAUCGCUAGUAAUCGCGAAUCAGAAUGUCGCGGUGAAUACGUUCCCGGGUCUUGUACACACCGCCCGUCACACCAUGGGAGUCAGUAACGCCCGAAGCCGGUGACCCAACCAAUCGGAGGGAGCCGUCGAAGGUGGGACCGAUAACUGGGGUGAAGUCGUAACAAGGUAGCCGU
RNAcentral lists this ribosomal RNA (488 nucleotides) under uncultured bacterium. RNAcentral's name for it is "bacterial SSU rRNA". It matches the Rfam family "Bacterial small subunit ribosomal RNA", at positions 1014 to 1503 of the family's 1533-position model. The record is from RNAcentral.